GCCUGGCUGGCUCAGUCAGAAGAGCAUGUGACUCUUGAUCUCAGAGUCAUGGGUUUGAGCCCUAUAUUGGGUA
This 73-nucleotide transfer RNA is filed under the name Ursus americanus (American black bear). It matches the Rfam family "tRNA". Rfam says of the family: Transfer RNA (tRNA) molecules are approximately 80 nucleotides in length. Their secondary structure includes four short double-helical elements and three loops (D, anti-codon, and T loops). The record is from Rfam by way of RNAcentral. Lineage: Eukaryota; Metazoa; Chordata; Mammalia; Carnivora; Ursidae. RNAcentral also lists the same sequence under 2 other names.